Bubalus bubalis (water buffalo) is the source of this 1760-nucleotide long non-coding RNA. RefSeq lists it as uncharacterized. The record is from RefSeq and is a predicted model, not a curated record. The transcript is spliced from 2 exons. Lineage: Eukaryota; Metazoa; Chordata; Mammalia; Artiodactyla; Bovidae.
AUAAUUUAUUAACAAAUAUUGUGAUAGUUUCAGGUGAAGAGUGAAGUGGCUCAGUCAUACAUAUGGCUGAGUUUCAAGCAUGUUCUUGACAGGAGAGAAUUUCCAAUUUGAUUAGAUAUCAUGAGAAAUAAAUAUUCCACUUAAGAUUUUAAAUGUCUUGCUGAUUGGAGAAUUUUCCAUCAACUAAUUUUUGGUUUCACAUGUUUCAAAAAUCUUUUCUCCUCCAUUGUUGGUACACUGUGAUGCUAAGUGCCAUAGGAAACAUUCAUAUACUGAUACAACUCCUGGGCCCCAUCCUUUAAAAAAAUUUUUUUUUAAAGUAUAGCUGAUUUACAAUGUUAGGUGUACAGCAAAGUGAUUCAGUUAUACGUACACAUAUCUAUUAUACCUAUAUACCUAUAUUCUUUUUCUCAUGAAAAUUAGUGAUCAUUUUUAUUUCUCUUAAUAGUUAACUUUGUCCAAGAAGAAUUUUCCUUUUAUGUUUCCUUCAGAAAAGCAAUAACAAUAAUAUCAGAAUAAUCACCAUGCAAUAAGAGUUGAAUGUGUGAGACAGACUUUAUAUAUUACUGCAUUCAAUUCUCAACUUCUGUUGAGGCAGAUGGUAUCAUAACUUUCUUACCAAACUCAACAGCAACUACUUGCUCAAGACCACAAACUUGUCUGUGGUUCCAAACUCUAUACGACAGCUCCCUGGGUCACCCCAAGAAAUUCACAGAGACGUCAAGGAAUGAUGCAAAUUUCUGAGGAAAACAGCGACACUCAACAUCUACUAAAUAGCACAUGAACCAAUGGCUCAAGGGAGUUCACGGCUUCAAAAUGAGAUCACAUUACAUUUCUUUUGAUGACGUAUCUGUGCAAAGCUCUUUUUAAGAGAUUGUUGAGCUAAAAGGAAUUUUAUCUGAUUCUAAGAUUUCAGAAGCUGUGUAGGGCCCAACAAGUAGGCACACACAUCCUAUCAGUAAGUAGCUGUGACUGUUUAAGAAGGAAAUAGUUAUUAUUUCUCCUCUCAAAUUAUGGUUUUUUCCCCCUAAACAUCUAAUGAAUUGUUAGGACAUAAGGACUUACUCAGUUGUUUGGACCUACCUACUUAAUAAAUAGAAUUUAAUAAGGUAUUUUUCUGGGCUCAGGCAUGUCAGGAAGAAGUUACUGAGACACUAACAAGCUCCAUGAACAGAUACUUGGGAACCUCUAUUCUGGGCAACAAGCUAAAGUACUUUAGGUGUUUCCUUUUUUAAUUUAACCCAUUAUUUACUUUAUUUUGAAUACAUUUAGAAAAUAUGGUUUUACAUCAGUGGCCAACUGGAUUUGCUAAUUCAUGAGACCCGAGUUACACAGAUAUAUUGACUUGAUCACAGGAUACAGCUAGGCUACUCUUGGUCCCCACCAGGGGCAGACCUAUUACCAUAAGACAUAGAACAGAUGAGGACAUAUGUAUAUUUCAGAUAGGUUGUCUCACAAAAAAGCAGGCAAGAGAAAAAAAAGAGUCUGAAAGUGAGAAAGUUCAGUUUCGUCAAAUAAGUCAUUUGAUCCCCUGCUUAGGGAGGAGAGGAAGGAGGUAGGAAGAAAAAUCAGAAAUAGUCCUGGUGGCACUCUCUCCCUGUGGAAACCUGAAUCAAGGGAAAUGGAAGUUCUUCCUGCCUACCGGGAAGGAAGGAGGGUUCACACAUUGUAAAAUGUGUGAUCGGGAGGCUGGACAUUGUAAAACAAAUACAUCUCUGUUGUAAGACACAGAGCUAGUUGCAAAUAAAUUGUCAUUUCUU